Molecule: ribosomal RNA, 426 nt
Filed under: uncultured Parachlamydia sp.
Lineage: Bacteria; Pseudomonadati; Chlamydiota; Chlamydiia; Parachlamydiales; Parachlamydiaceae
Description: bacterial SSU rRNA
Rfam family: Bacterial small subunit ribosomal RNA
Source: RNAcentral
CGAGAAUCAUUCGCAAUGGGCGAAAGCCUGACGAUGCGACGCCGUGUGAGCGAUGAAGGCCUUAGGGUCGUAAAGCUCUUUCGCCUGGGAGCAAGAGAAGCCGACUAAUAUUCGGCUAAUUUGAGAGUACCAGGUAAAGAAGCACCGGCUAACUCCGUGCCAGCAGCUGCGGUAAUACGGAGGGUGCAAGCAUUAAUCGGAUUUAUUGGGCGUAAAGGGCGCGUAGGCGGGAACAUAAGUCAGAUGUGAAAUCCUGGAGCUCAACUCCAGAACAGCAUUUGAAACUAUAUUUCUUGAGGGUAGGCGGAGAAAACGGAAUUCCACAUGUAGCGGUGAAAUGCGUAGAUAUGUGGAAGAACAUCGGUGGCGAAGGCGGUUUUCUAGCUUAUUCCUGACGCUGAGGCGCGAAAGCAAGGGGAGCAAACA